RNAcentral lists this ribosomal RNA (255 nucleotides) under uncultured bacterium. Its description in RNAcentral is "partial 16S ribosomal RNA". It matches the Rfam family "Bacterial small subunit ribosomal RNA", at positions 524 to 777 of the family's 1533-position model. The record is from RNAcentral.
UACGAAGGGGGGCUAGCGUUGCUCGGAAUCACUGGGCGUAAAGGGUGCGUAGGCGGGUCUUUAAGUCAGGGGUGAAAUCCUGGAGCUCAACUCCAGAACUGCCUUUGAUACUGAAGAUCUUGAGUUCGGGAGAGGUGAGUGGAACUGCGAGUGUAGAGGUGAAAUUCGUAGAUAUUCGCAAGAACACCAGUGGCGAAGGCGGCUCACUGGCCCGGUACUGACGCUGAGGUGCGAAAGCGUGGGGAGCAAACAGGG